AGGCCGUAACAAGGUCUCCGUUGGUGAACCAGCGGAGGAAUCAUUACCGAGUUUACAACUCCCAAACCCCUGUGAACAUACUAAUUGUUGCCUCGGCGGAUCAGUCCGCUCCCGGUAAAACGGGACGGCCCGCCAGAGGACCCUCAAUAACUCUGUUUCUAUAUGUAACUUCUGAGUAAAACCAUAAAUAAAUCAAAA
Molecule: unclassified non-coding RNA, 198 nt
Filed under: plant metagenome
Description: partial contains small subunit ribosomal RNA and internal transcribed spacer 1
Source: RNAcentral